CGAUCCUUGAUGGAGCCCCAUAACCACUGGAAAAUGGUCUGAGUCGCCCCCCACCGUCCUAACCCUAGUCUUAGCUCCAUCGUACAUGUUCUUGAUUACUCUGAUGUAUACUUCCGGCACGCUCUUCGCCUCCAAGCACCUCCAUUGGGACCUUGUCGUACGCCUUCUCCAAGUCGAUAAGCACCAUGUGCAGGUCCUUCUUAUCCCUGAACUGCUCCACCN
RNAcentral lists this long non-coding RNA (222 nucleotides) under Nicotiana benthamiana. RNAcentral's name for it is "long non-coding RNA (NBEN_LNC003877)". The record is from RNAcentral. Lineage: Eukaryota; Viridiplantae; Streptophyta; Magnoliopsida; Solanales; Solanaceae.